CUCUACAUACCACGGAUUCAAAAGCUCCAAUAGCUAGCCAUGUGUCUUCUCUCUGUGCAUCCUACUGUUCCCCUUGACCCCUCAUGCCCUCUCUCUUCCCUCAAACAACACCCAGAUCUCAUCGAUGACAACUCUUAAAUCCUAAUCUUACUUUCAAUCUCUCCAUCUUAAAGAUAACUCAUAUCCCUAAUUUAGGGAUUUAUGGGUUUUCAAAAGAUCUUAUCAACGCAUGGUUUUUUUCUCUUCUAUCAACGCAGGGUUUUUUUUUUUUGGAUAUUCACUAACAUCACGAAAUCAACAACUAUUUAAGAUGAAAUAUCUUGGCAGGUCAACCAAAGCAACUGCAUCUAUCAUGCUGAGAUGAGACUUGGUACACAAUGUCGUAUUGAAAAAAAAAAAAACAGAGUUUUAGCUUUCAACUAAUAGAUUAUUUAUCUUUCAAUUGUUUUUAGCCUAGCUUAAGUAAGUUAGUCUAUAAAUGAAUGGCUCGUGAACAAAGUUGAAUGUAGGUGAAAACUCAGGGUUCAUAGACAUGAAGUCUCUACGUGAUUGAUGCAGUGUCUUUAUUUCUUUUGGUUCGAUUUGCAAUUAUAUGCAACGUCUCCUCUGGCUCAUCACUUAGACUCAGAUCAUAUGGUGCAAAGAAGUUUUUGUUUCCGUUUUUAAUGCUUUCUUUGCAUUCAAGUUUAGCUUUGUUUACAUGUGCAGAGGUCAUUCUCUAUUGGUUUUUUAUUAACUUGUUUUCAGUUUUGACCAGUAACAAAGUUUGUUAUUUUGACCAGGUAAAAAGACUAUGUAUAGCAUUGUUUCGUUCCGACUUGAACGAGUGGCUGCUUGUAGUAGACUCUAGUUAUAGUUUUGGUAGAAUUUAGCGUGAUAUCUUUUGGCUUCUCGUAGUUAAAUUCUAGUAAUAUUGGUCCAAAGUAGAGCAAAAGCAAUCAAUUUAUAACAUUAAUACUCGCUUCCAUGUACGUGUUGUAGUUUAUGUGUUUCUAUUGAUUGCUAGUUAAACCAUAGUGAUAUUGUUGUUCGUGUAUUAAACUCUAGCAAUGUGACCCCCCGGAAGAUGGUCUUUUUUUCAA
Molecule: long non-coding RNA, 1082 nt
Organism: Erigeron canadensis
Lineage: Eukaryota; Viridiplantae; Streptophyta; Magnoliopsida; Asterales; Asteraceae
Exons: 2
Source: RefSeq, a predicted model, not a curated record